RNAcentral lists this transfer RNA (74 nucleotides) under Stieleria magnilauensis. Its description in RNAcentral is "Planctomycetes bacterium TBK1r tRNA-Asn". It matches the Rfam family "tRNA". From Rfam's summary of the family: Transfer RNA (tRNA) molecules are approximately 80 nucleotides in length. Their secondary structure includes four short double-helical elements and three loops (D, anti-codon, and T loops). Lineage: Bacteria; Pseudomonadati; Planctomycetota; Planctomycetia; Pirellulales; Pirellulaceae. The record is from RNAcentral.
UCCGGUGUGGCCCAAUGGUAAGGCGGCUCCCUGUUAAGGAGACGAUUGAUGGUUCGAGCCCAUCCACCGGAGCC